AUUGAACGCUGGCGGCAGGCCUAACACAUGCGAGUCGAACGGUAACAGGAAGAAGCUUGCUUCUUUGCUGACGAGUGGCGGACGGGUGUGUAAUGUCUGGGAAACUGCCUGAUGGAGGGGGAUAACUACUGGAAACGGUAGCUAAUACCGCAUAACGUCGCAAGACCAAAGAGGGGGACCUUCGGGCCUCUUGCCAUCGGAUGUGCCCAGAUGGGAUUAGCUAGUAGGUGGGGUAACGGCUCACCUAGGCGACGAUCCCUAGCUGGUCUGAGAGGAUGACCAGCCACACUGGAACUGAGACACGGUCCAGACUCCUACGGGAGGCAGCAGUGGGGAAUAUUGCGCAAUGGGCGCAAGCCUGAUGCAGCCAUGCCGCGUGUAUGAAGAAGGCCUUCGGGUUGUAAAGUACUUUCAGCGGGGAGGAAGGGAGUAAAGUUAAUACCUUUGCUCAUUGACGUUACCCGCAGAAGAAGCACCGGCUAACUCCGUG
Molecule: ribosomal RNA, 490 nt
Filed under: uncultured bacterium
Lineage: Bacteria
Description: partial 16S ribosomal RNA
Rfam family: Bacterial small subunit ribosomal RNA
Source: RNAcentral